UGUGCGUGUGUGUGUGUGUGUGGAAGAGAGUGAGAGAGAGGGGGCAGUGUGGGAGCAGGAGAUGGUUUGUUGUUAACCUUGAGCCGUCGACUGAUUACAAAAUUGCAGCGAUAACUGCCACUGACCCCAGCGUGAAUAAAGCGAAUAACUGAGAACAGCGCGAAAGAAACAGGCGGAGAGCAUGGGCUGGUGGGCGGGAGGGACUGUGGGAACGGGCUGGGCAGGCACACUGCCACUGAUAAGUCAUCGGCGUGAAACGUCAUCGUUCCGUUUCCUCCCCCGCUCCCCUCAUCCACUCCAAUUUAUAUGGAAUUGGCAACCAUAUAAAACUGAAAAGCUUACUAAAAUACAAUCAUCCUUAGCUUUGACUUUUCAGUUAAAUGUGGUUUAAAAAUUUGAAAAACUUUUUCAAUUCGGUGUAAAUAAAUUGGAAGUUUGUAAAAUAUAUAAAAUUAGUUUUGUUUCGAUCUGAAGUUUAGAAAGUUUUCAUAAAUAAAUUACAGCAGUUAUAUUGAAACAAUGAAGAUGAUUAUCCCAAGGACUGAUAACAUAUGAUCUGAAUCGGCAAACAGAAGAAACUCCCAAAAAGAAAACCAGUAAAUGCUGAGCUCUUCGAGUUCGAUAAUUAAUCGUUGAUUCAUUUAAUUACUAUACUUAUUACAUAAUGCACUAAUAUACCAUUCAAAAUGUUUGUAAACAUAUAUAGUUUGAUCGCAAAUAAAUCUGUAACACCUGACUGGAA
Long non-coding RNA from Drosophila mojavensis, 742 nucleotides. RefSeq lists it as uncharacterized. NCBI's taxonomy places the organism in Eukaryota, Metazoa, Arthropoda, Insecta, Diptera, Drosophilidae. The transcript has 2 exons. The record is from RefSeq and is a predicted model, not a curated record.